Erinaceus europaeus (western European hedgehog) is the source of this 1090-nucleotide long non-coding RNA. RefSeq lists it as uncharacterized. The record is from RefSeq and is a predicted model, not a curated record. NCBI's taxonomy places the organism in Eukaryota, Metazoa, Chordata, Mammalia, Eulipotyphla, Erinaceidae. The transcript has 3 exons.
CAGUGUUGUGGAUAUAUUUAGAAAGAAAGAGCAUGACGCGUCAGUUAGGAUCCAGAGCUGGUUUCGAGGAUGCCAAGUCCGAGCAUACAUCAGGUAUUUACAUAGACAAGCAACUAUUAUCCAAAAACGGUGGCGAGGUUACUUAGGCAGACAACAUUUUUAUCGCCUUGUGAAGGAUAUGUUGAAUCAUUCACCAUUGCCAAGACAGGAUGCCCUACAGCAGUCAGCAAGUGUUUGCUUAAUUGCCUGGAAUCCCUUCUUUAUUCGGACUGGCCUGCUGGUCUAAGGCUGCUGGUCCUCCAAGACUUCCCUUCGGUUUUCUCGGAUCUUCCAAAGCCGAGUCCAAGACAGAGGGAGACUGCAAACACUGUAUUAGGCAUGCCUUCCACGUGCUCUGUCCACAUGCUGCCUCUGCUGCUUGCUGUCACUCCUGUGGGAGGCCCUGAAUGCCGUAACUCUCCCGUUGAUGGUAUCUCUGACAGAGCCAGAGAACGGCACAGGAAAGCCACACACUUGCUGACUAAACCAAGGAAUGACUCACAGGUGUCCCCUUGGACAUGGGGGAGACCUUUGGCCAUGGUCAGUGUGGAUGGUGCAUAGUGUCACUUUGGGCAAAAAUUAUCCACCGCCCCCUUUAUCAUAUCCACCCCCCAUUUCGUAGACUUGGACUAAGUCAAGUGUGUCUGCAGAAGGGACGCAGACCACCCCAGCUGAGGCUUACUGAGGCUUUGUGUCCCCUUCUUGCGCAUGGCUAGUUCACCUCAGAUUUGAGCUGCGUCUAGCCCUGAGCCAAGCGCAAGAGAUGCAAGGAGUCCUCACUCAUAUGGAAUUUGAGUGAGAGGUACACUUUUUAUGUAGUGGGAAGCUACUGUGAGAGCUGCAUUUUUAUCUCAGCAAAGCUUAUUUGUGGUCGUAAUGAUAAGAGCAGGGUGUUUAUAGGAAACAUUUUGAAACUCAUGCGAAGAUGCUUAGAGUUUUUGGAGUUUGUGGUGAUCCUAGGACACCUCCAUGUGGUGAUAUCUUGUAAGGAGAUUUUGCUAUGUCAGUCAGAGUGCCCAGCACAGCAUAAUCACAUGCAACAAAUGCUUAU